RNAcentral lists this ribosomal RNA (449 nucleotides) under uncultured bacterium. RNAcentral describes it as "bacterial SSU rRNA". It matches the Rfam family "Bacterial small subunit ribosomal RNA", at positions 330 to 793 of the family's 1533-position model. The record is from RNAcentral.
UCCAGACUCCUACGGGAGGCAGCAGUGGGGAAUAUUGGGCAAUGGGCGCAAGCCUGACCCAGCAACGCCGCGUGAAGGAAGAAGGCUUUCGGGUUGUAAACUUCUUUUGUCAGGGACGAAGCAAGUGACGGUACCUGACGAAUAAGCCACGGCUAACUACGUGCCAGCAGCCGCGGUAAUACGUAGGUGGCAAGCGUUGUCCAGAUUUACUGGGUGUAAAGGGCGUGUAGCCGGGCUUACAAGUCAGAUGUGAAAUCCGGGGGCUCAACCCCCGAACUGCAUUUGAAACUGUCGUUCUUGAGUACUGGAGAGGUUGACGGAAUUCCUAGUGUAGCGGUGAAAUGCGUAGAUAUUAGGAGGAACACCAGUGGCGAAGGCGGUCAACUGGACAGCAACUGACGCUGAGGCGCGAAAGCGUGGGGAGCAAGCAGGAUUAGAUACCCCAGUAA